CGGACGGUGAGUAACACGUGAGGAACCUGCCUAUCAGAGAGGGAUACCGUUUGGAAACGAACGUUAAUACCGCAUAACGCAUAGAGGUCGCAUGGUCUUUAUGCCAAAGAUUUAUCGCUGAAAGAUGGCCUCGCGUCUGAUUAGCUAGUUGGUGAGGUAAACGGCCCACCCAAGGCGACGAUCACGUAGCCGGAACUGAGAGGUUGAACGGUCACAUUGGGACUGAGAUACGGCCCAGACUCCUACGGGAGGCAGCAGUGGGGAAUAUUGGGCAAUGGGCGCAAGCCUGACCCAGCAAUGCCGCGUGAAGGAAGAAGGCUUUCCGGGUUGUAAACUUCUUUUGUCAGGGACGAGCAGAAGACGGUACCUGACGAAUAAGCCACGGCUAACUACGUG
This 396-nucleotide ribosomal RNA is filed under the name uncultured bacterium. RNAcentral describes it as "bacterial SSU rRNA". It matches the Rfam family "Bacterial small subunit ribosomal RNA", at positions 99 to 507 of the family's 1533-position model. The record is from RNAcentral.